AAAAUAUUUUAUUUACAUUAGAUAAGAUGUUUUGCAGGUCAUCUUUCGUUUCUGCACAAAAAGUAAUGUCAUUGGCAAAUCUGAGUGCAUUAAUAACCUAACCUAUUCUAAUUUCUUGUUUAAUAUCUAUUUUUAUAAUUCCUUGACCAUCGCUACAUAAUUAUAAUAUAUAUAAUGGUUUAUUUUGUUGUACAACUUUACACUCAGAUUACCCACUUCAUCAUUAGUCAUCCAAAAAAGUUUUCAUUUUUAUUAUCUACCUGAAUUGGACCGUUGGAAACGUUAUCUCAUCGUUGUCCAUUGGUCAAAUAAAUUAUAGCGACAGAGAACUUAGAAAUAUUCUAUGAAUUUACACUUUUAUAUCUCAUACCAGUGGCAUUUUUAAAGGGGCAAUUAAGGAAAUUUAUCUCCCUCGCUCAACCUU
Non-coding RNA from Cinara cedri, 424 nucleotides. The record is from the annotation of a GenBank genome assembly. Lineage: Eukaryota; Metazoa; Arthropoda; Insecta; Hemiptera; Aphididae.